UUUUUUUGUCACCCCCCUACCUGCUUGUUAACUGGUCAGGGAGGGGGGCUAUCUUAAUCCCUGGUGGUCCAGUGGCAUGGGCUGUGAAGUGGGGGGGCCGGCAGGAAGCAUUUACUUACCUUUCCUGCAGCUCCUGUCAGCUCCUUUCUCCUCCGUUCCGGUCAGCUCCACUGUAAGUCUCGCGGUCUGGUUGCCGCGCGGAUCGUUGCC
This is a non-coding RNA of Pelobates cultripes (western spadefoot toad), 210 nucleotides long. The record is from the annotation of a GenBank genome assembly. Lineage: Eukaryota; Metazoa; Chordata; Amphibia; Anura; Pelobatidae.